CAGUAGCCGCGGGAAUACGUAGGUGGCAAGCGUUGUCCGGAAUUAUUGGGCGUAAAGGGCUCGCAGGCGGUUUCUUAAGUCUGAUGUGAAAGCCCCCGGCUCAACCGGGGAGGAUCAUUGGAAACUGGGAAACUUGAGUGCAGAAGAGGAGAGUGGAAUUCCACGUGUAGCGGUGAAAUGCGUAGAGAUGUGGAGGAACACCAGUGGCGAAGGCGACUCUCUGGUCUGUAACUGACGCUGAGGAGCGAAAGCGUGGGGAGCGAACAGGAUUAGAUACCCGUGUAGUCCCUGUCUCUUAUAC
Molecule: ribosomal RNA, 301 nt
Filed under: uncultured bacterium
Lineage: Bacteria
Description: partial 16S ribosomal RNA
Rfam family: Bacterial small subunit ribosomal RNA
Source: RNAcentral